UCCAGCCAUAAACACCACCAUCCUUGGCGUAGCGGGUACCUAGUACAAUAUCAUAAUUAUGCUCCUUUUGAAGUUUAAUAAAUUCUGGGAGAUAUUUGGGAUGAUGAGAAAAGUCGGCAUCCAUGAUAAUUACGAAAUCCCCUGUAGCAAAUUUUAGCCCAUGAAUAUAAGCAGUUCCCAGUCCGAGCUUGCCGCUUCGAGGCUUCAGUAAAAUCUUGUCUUCACCAUAGAUUUUCUGAAGCUCCUUGGCAACUUCUUGAGUUCCGUCGGGUGAAGCAUCGUCGAUUAUAACAAUUUCCCAAUCCAACUUUUCUUGGUCAAAGGUCUUAGCGAUCAAAUACGUGAUAAUUGGUAAAUUUUUCCUUUCAUUAUAGGUUGGUAAUAAAACGCUAUAUUUUGACAUCUUUGCUAGUAAUACCACA
Molecule: non-coding RNA, 422 nt
Organism: Schizosaccharomyces pombe (fission yeast)
Lineage: Eukaryota; Fungi; Ascomycota; Schizosaccharomycetes; Schizosaccharomycetales; Schizosaccharomycetaceae
Source: the annotation of a GenBank genome assembly